Molecule: ribosomal RNA, 406 nt
Filed under: uncultured bacterium
Lineage: Bacteria
Description: partial 16S ribosomal RNA
Rfam family: Bacterial small subunit ribosomal RNA
Source: RNAcentral
AUUGAACGCUGGCGGCAGGCCUAACACAUGCAAGUCGAGCGAGCGGCGGACGGGUGAGGAUUGUCUGGGAAACUGCCUGAUGGAGGGGGAUAACUACUGGAAACGGUAGAUAAAACCGCAUACCAUCUGCUGUGCGCAGAUGGGAUUAGCUAGUAGGUGGGGUAACGGCUGACCGAGGCGCCGAUCCCUAGCUGGUCUGAGAGGAUGACCAGCAACACUGGAACUGAGACACGGUCCAGACUCCUACGGGAGGCAGCAGUGGGGAAUAUUGCACAAUGGGCGAAAGCCUGAUGCAGCCAUGCCGCGUGUAUGAAGAAGGCCUUCGGGUUGUAAAGCACUUUCAGCGGGGAGGCGUUACCCGCAGAAGAAGCACCGGCUAACUCCGUGCCAGCAGCCGCGGUAAUUC